GUGAGGAAUAUUGGUCAAUGGGCGAGAGCCUGAACCAGCCAAGUCGCGUGAAGGAUGAAGGUUUUAUGAAUUGUAAACUUCUUUUGCAGGGGAAUAAAGUACGGUACGUGUACCGUUUUGUAUGUACUCUGCGAAUAAGGAUCGGCUAACUCCGUGCCAGCAGCCGCGGUAAUACGGAGGAUCCAAGCGUUAUCCGGAUUUAUUGGGUUUAAAGGGUGCGCAGGCGGGUUGAUAAGUCAGCGGUGAAAGUUUGCAGCUUAACUGUAAAAAUGCCGUUGAAACUGUCGGACUUGAGUGUAAAUGAGGUAGGCGGAAUGCGUGGUGUAGCGGUGAAAUGCAUAGAUAUCACGCAGAACUCCGAUUGCGAAGGCAGCUUACUAAGCUACAACUGACACUGAAGCACGAAAGCGUGGGGAUCAAACAGGAUUAGAAACCCUAGUAGUCC
This 445-nucleotide ribosomal RNA is filed under the name uncultured bacterium. Its description in RNAcentral is "partial 16S ribosomal RNA". It matches the Rfam family "Bacterial small subunit ribosomal RNA", at positions 354 to 796 of the family's 1533-position model. The record is from RNAcentral.